Molecule: long non-coding RNA, 1988 nt
Organism: Neodiprion fabricii
Lineage: Eukaryota; Metazoa; Arthropoda; Insecta; Hymenoptera; Diprionidae
Exons: 4
Source: RefSeq, a predicted model, not a curated record
GCUGAGAGGACGUACGAAAAUCGGGCUUCGCGAAUUUCAAGUGCCGGUUCCUCUAACUCUUGGGUACUGCGUACCAGGUUCUCUACCUGGUGAAUUUCGACUUCCAGGACUCGCGCUCCGUAGUUCCUGGGCUCCAGGUCGUCCACCCGGCGUUACCUGCAAAACUAUCCUGAUCAUCACCGUCACCAUCACCGUGCGAACUUCCGUGACCACCAAAGUGACUACUUAAGUGACUACUGAGAUGACCACCAAGUGAGCCAUGAUGACCACCCCACAACCCGUGACCACUAAAUAAGCCGUGAUUCCCAACCAGGAGGUCGGUAAAGGCAUUCAGACCAAGUGGAUCUUUAUGUUGUAACCUCUGUUCUUGACGGUGAGCAUGGAUCCGAUCCCGUUUCUCCUUGCGACGUUUUUGAAUAUCGGCAGAGGCAUCCGCUGGUCGUCGCUGGGACAGUGUGUUCCGGUUCUUUAUGAGGUUACUUAUCGCCUCCAAUGUUGCAACUGGUAUCUAGGUGCGGAAAAUAGGCUGUAUCUGAACGAUUGUGACUUGGGGUACGGAAAAAAGUCUGGUGAAGAAAAUGGAGCAUUCCAGGUGUAUGCAUGCAGAAGACGUUGUUCUUCCGCAAGUUUUACGAGUACUACAUCCAGAGAAUCCGCUGACUGAGACGCGGCGUGUGCAAAUAAAACUGUUUUGUCAGCGCAGAAAGGCGUAGGCAACAUUUGCCGAGUUCAACUCUCUAUUACGAAACCGAACACUGGACGACUCAGGGACCUGUUCUGCUAAUAUUUUUGCAGAGAUGAUGUCGCUCACGCCUGGCGUUGCACCGCUUGCCAGUAUUUUAUGGGUGAAACAAUGCGUGGUUGGAGAAUUACGAAUCUCUGUACGAUAGGCAUGCCUAUCAGUGAAGAUCUCAGGGAUGUUUUUGCCCGAAACGAGUCGGCCGGAAAAAACGCUGGCUGAUUUCUUGCACAAUUUAAAACAGGUAUGCUUGUAAUGUUGCUAAACGAAAUAAAUUCGCCGAAUAAAUUGAGACGUUUCCUUUUUUCGACACUGCAGGAUUACGUUUAGUCGAACUUUUCGGAACUCUAAAACUCGUCAUUUAUUCGGUGGAUAAAGAUUAGUUAGAAUUUACGAAAUCAUGAGAGCUACGAGUUGAUUACCGUUGCCAAAUGAUAUGUCGAUACAAUAAUAACAAUGAGAUGUUUGCUCGUUGAAGAAUGAAAAUUAAUUCCGAAUUACACUUUUCUGAUUAUGAAAAUGAAGAACUGAUUCUUUAUUCAAUGUUUCGAUUUAUGCAACAAAUUCCGAUAUUAAUUUUUCGAAUUCACGAAUAAAGAAUAAAUCUGAAAAAUAAACGUGAUUCCUUCUUCGAUUUCUCGGAGUACGAAACAAAUCACCUACCAAAUUUUUUGAAUCCAGAAAUAAACAAUUCAGAAAUGAUACUUCACUACCGUAUCUAGGUAGGUACUGGCUUUUUUCCCUAUCAAUGCUAAUCCACCCAGAAAAAUAGUCCCAUCACGGCAGCAAAAUCGUUUUCUUGGCAAUUUUUGGUCUUCGUAACGAAAAAUAUUCUCAGCAUAACUCUUCAUUUUGUUGACCCAAUGAAAUGACACAGAUUUGUUUCGUUGUUUAUAUUUAGUUUUUUCAACAAAAUGAAUUUGUCGCGAAGCGUGACUUGAAUUAUUGUUGUACGAUCAACCAAAUGUUUUGGUGGUCGAGUACUAUAACCUGCACGCAAACAUCGCGCAUUCGUGAAAAUUCAAAUUCAACGUCGGUGCCAAAUUUUCGUGUAUCGGCAACCAAACGUUUUGGUUGUCAGUACCGUAACUUGCGCGUGAACUUUGCGCAGUGAUGCGAAUUCGCAAAACGUCGCUGAGCAUGCCGCAUAUCUAGUUUAGUCGUCGCCUGAAACGGGUUCAACGUCAAAAGUUGUCUAAGACGCAAAGCAAGAACGAGAACUGGAAAAAUACCGAUUAUAACUUUAGUU